RNAcentral lists this ribosomal RNA (429 nucleotides) under bacterium. Its description in RNAcentral is "partial 16S ribosomal RNA". It matches the Rfam family "Bacterial small subunit ribosomal RNA", at positions 355 to 776 of the family's 1533-position model. The record is from RNAcentral.
UAGGGAAUCUUCGGCAAUGGGGGCAACCCUGACCGAGCAACGCCGCGUGAGUGAAGAAGGUUUUCGGAUCGUAAAGCUCUGUUGUAAGAGAAGAACGUGUGUGAGAGUGGAAAGUUCACACAGUGACGGUAACUUACCAGAAAGGGACGGCUAACUACGUGCCAGCAGCCGCGGUAAUACGUAGGUUCCGAGCGUUGUCCGGAUUUAUUGGGCGUAAAGCGAGCGCAGGCGGUUUAAUAAGUCUGAAGUUAAAGGCAGUGGCUUAACCAUUGGUGGCUUUGGAAACUGUUAAACUUGAGUGCAGAAGGGGAGAGUGGAAUUCCAUGUGUAGCGGAGAAAUGCGUAGAUAUAUGGAGGAACACCGGUGGCGAAAGCGGCUCUCUGGUCUGUAACUGACGCUGAGGCUCGAAAGCGUGGGGAGCAAACAGG